Molecule: non-coding RNA, 933 nt
Organism: Microcebus murinus (gray mouse lemur)
Lineage: Eukaryota; Metazoa; Chordata; Mammalia; Primates; Cheirogaleidae
Source: RefSeq, a predicted model, not a curated record
UUUAACUUUGCUCGAAAUCUCACCAGCACAAUGGUAUCAUAAUAUAGGAAGAAUGUCCACUUAGAUGUCCCUCUAAUCUCUCAAGUGGACUGCUUCAGUCCAGUUCCCGGCUUUUGAUGGCUGCGACUGGCUGACUCAAAGGCCCACUUUCCUUAAGUUUUUUCCCUCUGUACCUGCUCCUCCACAAAUUCUUCCCAAGAAUAUUUUUAGUCUCAGGUACCUGCUACCCAAGACCCCCUCGAACGUCACAGGGCCGCUUAGAACUAAAACAGUCCCGCAGUCCUUACACGCGCCGGAGCCGCCGAGCCUGUUGCUCCAGGGGCGACUGAGGGCAGCAGAUGGGGAGGGGUCGGCCGGGACUCGUCGCGGGACAGCCCGGGCCUCGGCCCGGUUCCCCCGGACGGAGGCGUCUCGGAGAGGAACUGGACGGCAAGUUUCUCGUACGCAGCCAGGGCGCCAUACUCUGGAAACCGCGCCUCCCGGGCGCGAGCGCGCACGCGAGCGAGCGCCGGAGAGCUAGCUUCACGUCUGUGUGCUGGGCCGGGAAGGAAAAGCGUUGAGACCCCACGGGAGCCCAACGCACAGGCGCAACCGGAGACCGACCCCAGAUGCCUAGGCAAGGAUUGGACCCAGACCUGGCACAGUGUGUAGCCUACCCCAGUGCUCAGCCACCUCUUGCCCAACAGCUGAAUCGAUGUCGGAAUAUCCACAUUGACACUUGGUUUGUUCCUGCUUCAUCCUAACUGUGGGCUCAGAAUGAGGUGCAGCCUUCCCGAGGGGAGGGCCUGCCCUCCGCAAAGCCCUCUGGGGCUGGAGUCUCCCCUAGGAGGUGGAACUUGCCCUGCAGGAAGGAGAUGUCACCGAACAUGUCGCUGCCACCACCACUGCCAAUGUGAAUGGUGUGGCGGAAGUCCCCCAGCGGCGGGCUGAUCA